Long non-coding RNA from Lagopus muta (rock ptarmigan), 8702 nucleotides. RefSeq lists it as uncharacterized. The transcript is spliced from 3 exons. The record is from RefSeq and is a predicted model, not a curated record. NCBI's taxonomy places the organism in Eukaryota, Metazoa, Chordata, Aves, Galliformes, Phasianidae.
UCAAAAGGAUAAAGAUGUUAAUCAUUUCCAAGAUGCUCAGACCGUAUGGUUCAUGCAGACAUACCUUACACAGACAGUCUUUGGGAAAUAUGCUAACAAGAUCUAUUGUUUGUUCAAACACAAAACAAAUGGAGAAUGCAAAACAGGAAAGGCUUGCAGCUCUUCAUGGAUGCAUAGAUGCCUCACUGUUACUUCUCAGCAAAUCUCUCCAGCAAAUCUCUCCAGUGUGAUUUUAAGGAUCUUUUCUUCUUUUGGGAAUAAGUGAAGAGAACAGCAACCAUACAGUUGAUUCUCCUUUCUCACCACACAAGCUAGACAGGAGGAUCCUGAUGGAGAAAUCUCCAUGUGUCAUGGGAAGCACUUCUGCUCCUGUGUCUGGCACAGACUGUAACAGCCUCUACAUCUUUCCUGCACCUGGACUGUCGACAAUCAUGAGUUCAAAAUUGGAAGAUGCCACUGGCCUUUGCUAUCUGACAGCACUCCCAUGAGCCCUGACGUUAUCUACAGAAUCCUGUAUUGUCUUGGCAUUUGAAAAGUGCAGUAAUGCUUUCCUUUGAGGCACCACUUCACUGAUGCACAUUCAUUUCACUCAGCUUACUAGCAGCCUGGAGAGUUUUGCUGAAGGAUGAAAUCUUUGUAUUGGAUUGGCUCCUGCACAUCAGAUACAGGUAUAGGCUGUGUGUUCACACUCUGCCAAGCUUUUUAGGUAAGGUAGUAAUCUGAACAUAAAGAAAAACAUAUAGAAAAAGCCAAAAGAAUGCUAACUGAAUACAAAACACAUCUGAAGAAGCAUUUCAUUUUAAGCCCCAGUCUCAAGUUUUCCAGAUAGCCCAAGAUAUAUAAGGACAGUUAGCAUGCUGUGUGACACUUCAGCUGGAUGCUCUAUAUCAUCCUAGUGUUCAGACUGCUAUUCUUAACUCUGAACAGCACUGCCUUCAUCUACUGCUGAUCUCUGCUUUUCACAGCACAGAUUCUCCCACGGUCUAGCAGGUUUCUUCACUAUUCUCCUUUCUGCCCAUUGGGUAAGAGGAUGGGAACUGAAGGAUGGUGAAAGUCUGAAUAAAAUAUGCUCUUACCAUGCCUGGCUGACACCGAUGUAAUUACUUACCCAUAGACGACAGCUAACUUAGACUACAAUCAGUUAAAUGCAAAAACAGGCUUGUAUCCUUUAUGCACUCAGAAAAGGAAAUCCACGUGUUUAUACUCAAAAUCCACAUCUAAAUAUACCACUGGUCAAACCUUACCAUUGAAUAGUGUCUGAAAGGCCAAAUACCUAUUUACAGAAAAUCUCCCCCAUUCCCAACCCAUUCCAAGUUCCUGACACGCGCAGCCCCUCACACCACUGCCAUGACACAAACCACUAUGGUGCGCUCGUGCUUCCACAGCACACAUCUGUUUCCAAAAGCUUUUAACUUAUCUUUAAAGUUCACUUCACACUGCAGUGCAAUUUCUGGACAAAAUAACAAAAAAUCAUGAGAACUUUUUGGUUGCAACAGAGACAUUAGCAGCUAGUUUGUGCUGUCUGAAGAACUAAGAAGGAGCUUUUAACCAUCAAAAUAAGAUUCCCUCCACCUACUUCUAACACUUUGCAUUUUUUUACCCAGUGGCUCUUUCUCACUGAGCUGUCUUCCUGCACACUUCACACCAUACUUCUCUGCACCUAAGCAGAGCCUGAUUCUGCAAACACUCCGCAGAGAUGCUGUGGUGUAACAUGGCAAGUGGCCCCAGUAAUGUUACCAGUGGUAAGCAGGCACUUCUGAACCUCGGCUGACCUUCCAACGGGACCAGGGAUGGGCAGAGCAGCCAGGCUGCACACCAUGCCUGGUUGCUCUGCUCAGCCACCAGGGCUUCUUGUAAUCACUGGCUGAGAUGACAUGUAUUGAAAAACAAAGCCCAUGAAAAAAAGGAAGAGAAUCUUGUAGUGACAAACUUGAGCUGUGCUCUUGAACAGGAAAAGCUACACCAUAGAUAAGCUGUGCAGAAAAUCUGCAAACAGGAAUACAGCCUGGGAUUUAAGAACCUCGAGCAGGCAUCUCUCAUCUUUGUGCUUUGAGUCACUGCAGAGUGCUACCUGUGAUUUGUGUUUGCAAAAGAGAAGCUGUAGAAGAGGCAUGCAGUGCAAGUUUACAACAUCUACAUGGGAUCGAGUGACGUGGAGGUGUCUUUAUUUCCAUAUAUAGUAUUGAUGAGUGCAACCCUGGCUUAUAGCAUUCAGCUUUGUAACCACAUCCUAAAUCAGACAGGAUAUGAGAAGAGCCUCAGAAUGAAUAUCAGGGUUGGAAGGAACACUUUAGAGAAAAAAGAUAUAUUUGGUCAGCUCUGUUCAGCUCUUCACCAAAUAGUAUAUUGAGAAGUGACUUGUUUACAGCACCCACAUACUUUAAUGGUAAGAAAACUACAGAUACUGAAGAGUUGCAAGCUGAAGCCAGAGUUUUAAUGGAAAAGGUGAUUACUCACUAGAACAAAAUGAAAAAAGAAAUCAGUUGAUUUGCUAUCAUUUGAUAUUUUAUGUCAGAACCGACUGACUUAACCCACUCAAGUUACUGUGCAGUAGUAGAAGAAAUUUUGUGGCUGGUAGCAAAGAAGAAGCCCAGCUAAACGAUCCAAUGGUUCGUUUCAGUCAUUCAGAGCUGUACAUUACACUCUUGUAUGUCUCAGCUUCCACAUCACUUGUGAAAACCUUUUUGUCGGGCUCUCUGAGACACCUAAGUUUAUGUCAUUUUAGGAAGGUGUUUUAACACCUCAUUUGCUAUCAAUUCCAGUCAUUGGCUCUUCAAAGCCCAGUGGUCACCACCCUGCAAUAUAAAGCCCCGAAGGAAUGUGAAACAACACCAGGUUAAAAUAGAAGUUUGAGCACAUGAUCUUAAAAAUUAAUUUUAAGCGCUGCCCCUUCCCAUCUGCCUUGUUCAUAAAUAUUACUGUUUAUUGCUUUGCAUUAGAAUAAUUACUGAAAUGAAAAAAUAGAACAAAAGUACACAUAUUAAUCAGAACAAAAGUAAUGUGCUUAGUAAAAACAUUCAAGCAUUACCAAGGUAAGGCCAGUACUUCUGCAGUAUAAUAGGGCAGGAAGAUAUAUGUGACCAUAAUGAAAAUGGCUAUUAAAAAGCAGAAAAAAAGAAGGUAUCAGUUCUCUUGUCCCAUGUGAGAAAGUUACUGGCUCUAAGAUUUUCUUCUAUGUCUUUACACAGAAAACUCAAAGCCCUGAAAACUGCUUUACAUCUUAUUAUUAAAAGCUAAAGAAGGUCAAGAGAAAAUUCUCUCUUUUCCCCUUAGGUUCUUUUGUGUAUAAUGAGCAACUGCAGGCAGCCAGGGGCUGAAGCACUAGCGAAAAAAGAAGAAUGCUACAAGAGCAGAAACAACACACUGUUCCUUUCAAGUUCACCCCCCUCCUGGCCCACAGCCCGCCUGCCUUGGCCAGCUGCCAGGGUAUCGGGACAAAAGCUUCCUCCUCUGGCCAAAACCAAGGAAAAGGGUCCGUUGUUUAACACAGGCUGACUGGUUUCAGCAAGAGAAAAAACUGAAAAUAAAGGGAAUUAUAUUAACUGGAGGUCCUGAGGGAGAAGAGUAAUCUCCUAGUGUGGCUAAUGCAAUUCACUCCAUGCCUUUCCCAAGGAGGGAAUGUCUUGACUCCCUACCUCUCAGACUAGAAGGCAAAGUGAAAUGUUUCAGCAGGGCUAAAGCUGUGAGGUUGCCAAGGUCUUUGUGUCCCUUGGGGUUAUUACAAACCAGAAACAAUGCAUCUCUCUUCUUUUCAGGAAGCCCUAAAGCAAACCACUCUCCCUCUGUGCUUGCCCACACUUGUGUGAAGGGCGAACAUUCUCAUAAAAAGACAGCAGAAAUUUCCAUGCACCUACCAAAGAGUCUCAGAGAUGAACAAAUCAAGCAUUUAGCUAUCUGAGGAAUUCACACUGACCCGAGUUCCUUCUGGAUUUUGCAAAUCGUCUUGAGUGAGAUGACAAGGCAUGUGUGGGGGAAAACCAAGGGGCAUCACGCCCAGCUAGCAGGGGUUCAUGAAAGGCAGGUCCUGCUUGACCAACCUGAUCUCCUUCUAUGAUCGAGUGACCCGCCUGAUACACAACGGAGAGACUGUUGAUGUAGCCUACCUAGAUUUCAGCCAAGUCUUUGACACUGUCUCCCACAGUGUUCUCCUGGAGAAGCUGGCAGCCUGUGGCUUGGACAGAUACACUCCUUGCUGGGGAAAGAACCAACUGGAGGGCUGGGCCCAGAGAGUGGUGGUGAAUGGAAUUGAAAUCAGCUAGUGACUGGAAACCAACGCUUUUCCCCAGGGGCUGGUAUUGGGGCCCCUCCUGUUUAACAUCUUCACUGACUAUUUGGAUGAGGGAACUGAGUGCACUCUCAGUAAGUUUGUAGAUGAUACCAAGUUGGGAGGAAAUGUCAAUCUGCUGGGGAUAGGAAAUGUCCUACAGAAGGAUCAGGACAGGAUGGAUCGCUGGGCUGAGGCCAAUGGGAUGAAGUUUAGUAAGACAAAGUGCCAGGUCCCGCACUUUGGCUGCAGCAAUCCUGGGCAAUGCUACAGACUUGGAGUGGAGUUGCUGGAAGACUGUGUGGAAGAAACGGACUGGGGGUGUUGGUUGAGGCUUGGUUGAAUACGAACCAGCAGCAUGCCCAGGUGGCUAAGAAGGCCAAUGGCAUCCUGAUUUGCAUGAGAAACAGUGUUGCCAGCAGGAGAAUGGAAGCAAUGGUCUCCAUAUACUCAGCUCUGGUGAGGCCACACCUCGAAUACUGUGUUCAGUUUUGGGUUCCUCACUACAAGAAGUACACUGGGGCCCUGCAAGCAUGUCCAAAGAAGGGCAACAAAGCUGCUGGGGGGUCUGGAGCACAGGUCUUAUGAGGAGUGGCUGAGGGAACUGGGAGAAGAGGAGGCUCAGGGGAGACAUUAUAGCUCUCUAUAACUACCUGUGGUUAUGGCAAGGUGGGGGUUGGCCUCUUCUCCCACACAGCCAGUGACAGAACUAGAGGGAAUGGCUUCAAGUUGCACCACAGGGGAAGUUCAGCUUGGAUAUUACAAAAAAUUUCUUCUCCAAAGGAGUGGUCAGGAGCUGAAACAGGCUGCCCAGGGAAGUGGUUAAGUCACCAAUCUCUGAAGGUGGUACUAUCUGUUGGCUAAAAAGAAAACAACCAAAAUAAUUCAACCUUCUGUGCCUAUUUAAAUUCUUUCAAAAUUGAUUUUCCCUGAGAAAUCAUGAUUUCCCUGAGAAAUUCAGCAAUCUCUCUGCACAGUUCAUUUUUUGUUUCUACAUAGCAUAUCCUCCCUUUGAUUGUCUGUUUUCCAAAAUCAGAGGUCCCACUUUAUGAAAUUUCUGUUCCUGUGAAAGUCAUUCAUUGCAUCUCUGACCAUCCCUGGCUCCUGCUCUGUACCUUUUCUAGUUCUAUUAGAUUCUUUUCAAGAGGAUGGGACCAGAGCUACAAAUAAUUAAUGAAAACGCAGAAAUUUGUAGUUAAAAAAAAACACCCAUUAUAUAAAUAUUUUAAGAAAUUUGAAGGAGUUAAGAGUCAGAAGUAAGUGAUAACCAAUGUGCCUAUACCAUAGAUUUGAACCACUGCUGUCCCAAAGUGUUGGCUGAGAAUAUUUCCUUUACUUUAAAAACAAAAGCAGUUCAACACAAGAGAUUUCUUCAACUUCAUGGCUAAUCCUAAAAGAAAGAGUAUUAACUACAAGUAAAUCUAAUUAAUCUAGUAAAGUAACACAGAAAAAAAUAAAAAAGAUUAAAUAAAAUUAAGAUAAAAUUAAAAAAUAAGACAACACUUUAAUGGCCAUUUUCAACAGCUAAUCCUCAAAAAUACAGAUCUUUUAUUUUUUUUCCUAAAAACUAAUAAAAAUUCUCUUCUUUACUAGAUUCUGAAUCGAUGAAAUUCUACUCAAUUUGUUAAACUUAAUAGAAGAAUAAAUGCCCAGAUUUCACUCAUGCCAAACAGACCAAGAAAACCCUGAAACUGUAAAGGAUCACCUUUUUAAAAUCUGCAAACAGAGUAGAAUGCACCAUAUUCUUUCCAUUUUAAUUAAGUUCUAUGGAAAACAAACUUAAGAUAUCUGAGAUUCAUGGUUUCCAUAGCAACCAAAACAAUGGAAAAAAAAUGACGAGAGUCAUGUCACGGCCUGUCCAAACCCCAAAAAUUUGUCUCCAGGAGACUUGGACUGAGUUUAUACGGAGGGGGCACCUACCGCACUGGCUUGCGUACGUGCACUUACACGUGCCAAAAGGGCCAUAAGGGCCAUGCUUUGACAUAGGCACAGCACUCUGUUGGACAUGAAUGCGUGUAUAACCAUUGAGUAUGCGGGUCCCAGAACACUUUUAAACUCCCCAGUUCAGCAUCUAAAUGGAGGCCAAGUUUUCCUAUAUGUGUUGGGGAUAUGAAAUUGUGACUCUGAGCUCUCUUAAAAAUAUAUUCCUCACUGGUAUGGCCAGUGGCUACGGCCACCAGUCUCUGAACAAACACGGCAGCCCAAGGUACAUCACGUUCAGUUAACAUUUCCUCCAUCUGCUUGCCACGGUGGUUGACAGCAUUUCUGGCCUAUUCCUAGAGCAUUUAAUUUUGUUAAGUGCAUUUAUUGAAGAAAUGAAAACCCCUUAAAUGAGCAAAUAUAGAGUCCUCAUAAACAUAGCUACAUUUUUUUUUUUCAUUUGCUCUGAGUAACAGCGGGAAAUGAAAAACCACGAGGCUGUAGGAUGUGAAAGGACUAUUUAUGUAUCAUGGGAAAAAUUAAACUGAGUUUCAGUGCUUUAAAGUGUCCAACAUCUGUUUAUCAAAACACUUUUGUUGUACUUCUUUUGUCCUCAAUUAUGCAGUCUGACUGCUCUGACUUAUGAAAACUGCACUAGAUUCUUCCUUUGAUUUUAAUGAGUAUCUGUCUAAGUUCUGCCACUACUUUGAAACCAAAACGUUUGGCUGGCAUUUCCAAUUGCCAAUAAAAUGCAUGAAUGUAUCAAGUGCCCUUUCUUCAUAGAAUUGCUCACAUGUGCACACACAUUCUGUAAAGAUGUGUGGGUCUUGGAGUUCUUCUCUUUCUGUGCAUGAGAUACAAAGUGUCUAGGCUGUAAAUUUUCAUUUCUGUUACAAUAAAAUAUAUUGAAGAAGUGGGAUGUACACCAAGACGCGGCUUGAAAGGAUAACAGAAAACAGCCUGUGAAUUGAACAGUUGAAUUUAGCAAGAACUCAAGCCACUGAUUUCUACAAGAAGCUUGCAGAAACAUGCACCAAGGAAAAUAACUUUCAUCAGUUCAAAGCAGAACUUUUCGCCAACUGUUGAGUCUGUCCUUAAAAUAGGCUAAGUAACGUAUUCCACAACUGCAAAAAGCACUGGAACUUACCAGGGGACCACAAGCCAUGUUCCACAAGCAGCAGAAAGCAGUGCCAAGCAAAUACUGAAAUUCAAUAUACAGAAAAAUAUGCUUUUCAGUUUCAUUGCUGUUCUGUUAUUAAAAAUUCUAGAUGAGCAGGGCUGACAUUUUGGUAAGCUGUUUGCAAGUGUUUAAGAAGACAGAGGCUUUCUGCUCUCAGCCAUUUGUGCUGGCAUAGCUGCAACAAACAGGCAAAGUUGUACAAGCUGCAAUUUGUACCUGUUAUUUUCAGCAUAUAAGAGCUGGAAAUGAUUGACUAUAAAGGGGUUUGCCGUCCCACAGAAGCUGUUCUUAGUAUAACAGGAUGUAUAUACAUGUACAUCACAAUCCUAUUCAGGAUAAUGUCUUUCUGUCAAGUGCUUGAACACAAACAGCACUCAUUUCACCCUUUUUUACCAUGCUGACUGGAAAGAUCAAUCUGCCAUUUUUAAAUAAACAAAAUAAUCUGAACAAGAGAAAUCCGUUUCACUGCACUUAAAAAGAUUGUACGUUCCCUAGCAUUAAGCAUCUCACCGGAUCUGUAAAGAAAAUCAAUUGGUUUAACACAGAAUUGUGGGCUAAACUAAGUACCUCAAAAACAGGAAAGACCAUGACCUCUUCAAAGUGUUCUUUGGCAUCCUGGAUUUCCAUCUUACAUUCUGUCCUUAAUGGCAUUUAACUGGCACUCAGAACUUACCACUACAUCUGACCGGGCUAAAUUCAGAAUGGAAAUGCUUAAGGUAAGAAUUCGGAGAAAACAAACAAAAUCCACCUGAAAGAUCCAGAAAUUCUGAAACAAUUGCCCCAAGGAAGACAUAAAUCACUACUGCCUGAUACUUUUAUGGCGAAACUGGACAAACAAUAGUCCCUAUGAACUAGGAUUCAGUGCAGGAAAGCAAACUGAUGUCUUCUCAAGCAGUGAAAACUGAGUUGUGAACAGGGCAAAACCAAAGACACACUUGACAUGUGGCUUUAUCAAAUAAAAAACACCAUGACAAAAACACGGGGCAGGCAGCUGGUCAAAUCACCUCGCUGCCAAAUAUCUGAGCAGUUUGUUUGAACAUUGUCUCCUGCUCCAGUUGGCCCAGCCUGCUGUGCCCUCUUCACAAUCCCUUCACAGUUUUACUGCCCAAACUUCUUCCUUAGAUUUCCCAUUUUCUGCAUUUCAUUCUCUCCAGGCACUCUUCUAGCAGCUGCUUUUGUCUGCAUGCAGGGAAUUCUCAAUAUUUUACUGGAAUAGAUCUUCAUCAACCAGGUUGGCUUUUGGUAAAGAAAUCCUGGGUUUCUACUGCAUUUGUUUGCCACAGAGGGAACCAGGACAUAGACUGUGUUGUUGGAAACACUCCAGUAAAAAAUACUACC